CGAUAGUGAACCAGUACCGUGAGGGAAAGGCGAAAAGAACCCUGUGAGGGGAGUGAAAUAGAACCUGAAACCGUGUACGUACAAGCAGUAGGAGCACCUUCGUGGUGUGACUGCGUACCUUUUGUAUAAUGGGUCAGCGACUUAUAUUCAGUGGCAAGGUUAACCGUAUAGGGGAGCCGUAGCGAAAGCGAGUCUUAACUGGGCGCUCAGUCUCUGGAUAUAGACCCGAAACCGGGUGAUCUAGCCAUGGGCAGGUUGAAGGUUGAGUAACAUCAACUGGAGGACCGAACCGACUAAUGUUGAAAAAUUAGCGGAUGACUUGUGGCUAGGGGUGAAAGGCCAAUCAAACUCGGAGAUAGCUGGUUCUCCCCGAAAGCUAUUUAGGUAGCGCCUCGGACGAAUACUACUGGGGGUAGAGCACUGUUAAGGCUAGGGGGUCAUCCCGACUUACCAACCCUUUGCAAACUCCGAAUACCAGUAAGUACUAUCCGGGAGACACACGGCGGGUGCUAACGUCCGUCGUGGAGAGGGAAACAACCCAGACCGCCAGCUAAGGUCCCAAAGUAUUGCUAAGUGGGAAACGAUGUGGGAAGGCUCAGACAGCUAGGAUGUUGGCUUAGAAGCAGCCAUCAUUUAAAGAAAGCGUAAUAGCUCACUAGUCGAGUCGGCCUGCGCGGAAGAUGUAACGGGGCUAAGCAAUACACCGAAGCUGCGGCAAUGUCUUUUAGACAUUGGGUAGGGGAGCGUUCUGUAAGCCGUUGAAGGUGAAUCGUAAGGUUUGCUGGAGGUAUCAGAAGUGCGAAUGCUGACAUGAGUAACGACAAAGGGGGUGAAAAACCUCCUCGCCGGAAGACCAAGGGUUCCUGUCCAACGUUAAUCGGGGCAGGGUGAGUCGACCCCUAAGGUGAGGCCGAAAGGCGUAAUCGAUGGGAAACGGGUUAAUAUUCCCGUACUUCUGACUAUUGCGAUGGGGGGACGGAGAAGGCUAGGUGGGCCAGGCGACGGUUGUCCUGGUUCAAGUGCGUAGGCUUGAGAGUUAGGUAAAUCCGGCUCUCUCUAAGGCUGAGACACGACGUCGAGCUACUACGGUAGUGAAGUCAUUGAUGCCAUGCUUCCAGGAAAAGCCUCUAAGCUUCAGAUAGUCAGGAAUCGUACCCCAAACCGACACAGGUGGUCGGGUAGAGAAUACCAAGGCGCUUGAGAGAACUCGGGUGAAGGAACUAGGCAAAAUGGUACCGUAACUUCGGGAGAAGGUACGCUCUUGAUGGUGAAGUCCCUCGCGGAUGGAGCUGACGAGAGUCGCAGAUACCAGGUGGCUGCAACUGUUUAUUAAAAACACAGCACUGUGCAAAAUCGCAAGAUGACGUAUACGGUGUGACGCCUGCCCGGUGCCGGAAGGUUAAUUGAUGGGGUUAGCGCAAGCGAAGCUCUUGAUCGAAGCCCCGGUAAACGGCGGCCGUAACUAUAACGGUCCUAAGGUAGCGAAAUUCCUUGUCGGGUAAGUUCCGACCUGCACGAAUGGCGUAAUGAUGGCCACGCUGUCUCCACCCGAGACUCAGUGAAAUUGAAAUCGCUGUGAAGAUGCAGUGUACCCGCGGCUAGACGGAAAGACCCCGUGAACCUUUACUACAGCUUGGCACUGAACAUUGAACCUACAUGUGUAGGAUAGGUGGGAGGCUAUGAAGACGUGACGCCAGUUGCGUUGGAGCCGUCCUUGAAAUACCACCCUUGUAUGUUUGAUGUUCUAACUUAGACCCAUUAUCUGGGUUGAGGACAGUGCCUGGUGGGUAGUUUGACUGGGGCGGUCUCCUCCCAAAGAGUAACGGAGGAGCACGAAGGUGGGCUAAUCACGGUUGGACAUCGUGAGGUUAGUGCAAUGGCAUAAGCCCGCUUAACUGCGAGAAUGACGGUUCGAGCAGGUGCGAAAGCAGGUCAUAGUGAUCCGGUGGUUCUGUAUGGAAGGGCCAUCGCUCAACGGAUAAAAGGUACUCCGGGGAUAACAGGCUGAUACCGCCCAAGAGUUCAUAUCGACGGCGGUGUUUGGCACCUCGAUGUCGGCUCAUCACAUCCUGGGGCUGAAGUCGGUCCCAAGGGUAUGGCUGUUCGCCAUUUAAAGUGGUACGCGAGCUGGGUUUAGAACGUCGUGAGACAGUUCGGUCCCUAUCUGCCGUGGGCGUUGGAAGAUUGAAGGGGGCUGCUCCUAGUACGAGAGGACCGGAGUGGACGAACCUCUGGUGUUCGGGUUGUGUCGCCAGACGCAUUGCCCGGUAGCUAAGUUCGGAAUUGAUAAGCGCUGAAAGCAUCUAAGCGCGAAGCGAGCCCUGAGAUGAGUCUUCCCUGACAGUUUAACUGUCCUAAAGGGUUGUUCGAGACUAGAACGUUGAUAGGCAGGGUGUGUAAGCGUUGUGAGGCGUUGAGCUAACCUGUACUAAUUGCCCGUGAGGCUUAACCAU
This 2453-nucleotide ribosomal RNA is filed under the name Vibrio cholerae. RNAcentral describes it as "bacterial LSU rRNA". It matches the Rfam family "Bacterial large subunit ribosomal RNA", at positions 485 to 2925 of the family's 2925-position model. The record is from RNAcentral. Lineage: Bacteria; Pseudomonadati; Pseudomonadota; Gammaproteobacteria; Vibrionales; Vibrionaceae.